CCCUUAGAUGUUCUGGGCCGCACGCGCGCUACACUGACGUAGGCAGCGAGCGUGUCCUUCGCCGGCAGGUGCGGGCAAUCUUGCGAGUCUCCGUCGUGCUGGGGAUAGAUGGUUGCAAUUGUCGAUCUUGAACGAGGAAUUCCUAGUAAGCGCGAGUCAUCAGCUCGCGCUGAUUACGUCCCUGCCCUUUGUACACACCGCCCGUCGCUACUACAGAGUGCCCGUGUCCAAGAAACGGUCGGACCUGUGCGGCCUCUCCGGGCGACCGGAGGGCCGUUACGGGGAAGACCCUUUAUUUGACGCGGGUCGAUGAAGUAAAAGUCGUAACA
Molecule: ribosomal RNA, 329 nt
Filed under: uncultured eukaryote
Lineage: Eukaryota
Description: partial 18S ribosomal RNA
Rfam family: Eukaryotic small subunit ribosomal RNA
Source: RNAcentral